This 585-nucleotide long non-coding RNA is filed under the name Gallus gallus (chicken). RNAcentral describes it as "lncRNA (ENSGALG00010022484.1)". Lineage: Eukaryota; Metazoa; Chordata; Aves; Galliformes; Phasianidae. The record is from RNAcentral.
AGGAAGAAAGGAAAGGAAGGGGGGGAGAAUGGGAGGGAGGUAGGUAUGAAGGAAGUGGGGGGAGGAAGGAAGGAAGAGAGGGAGUGAGAGAAAGUGACAGGAAAGCACGAAGGAAGGGAGGAAGGAAGUCAGGAGGGCAGAAUGGAAAGAAGGAAGUAAAGGAAGAGAGUAAAGACUGUAGGGAGGGACAAAGGCAGGCAGGAAGGAAGGCAGGCAGGCAGAGAGGAAGGGAGGAAGAAAGGAAAGGAAGGGGGGGGAGGGAGGUAGGUAUGAAGAGAGGGAGUGAGAGAAAGUGACAGGAAAGUACGAAGGAAGGGAGGGAGGAAGUAAAGGAAGAGAGUAAAGACUGGAGGGAGGGAGGAAGGCAUGGGGGGAGGGAGGAAGGCAGGAAGGAAGGCAGGCAGGCAGAGAAGGAGGGAGGGAGGAAGAAAGGAAAGGAAGGGGGGGAGAAUGGGAGGGAGGUAGGUAUGAAGGAAGUGGGGGAGGAAGGAAGGAAGAGAGGGAGUGAGAGAAAGUGACAGGAAAGCACGAAGGAGGGGAGGAAGGAAAAAAGGGAGGACGGGAGGGAGGAAGGAAGGAAGGGAG